UCCGGCUUAUCACCGGCGGUCCCCUUAGAGUGCUCAACUCAAUGGUAGCAACUAAGGGCGAGGGUUGCGCUCGUUGCGGGACUUAACCCAACAUCUCACGACACGAGCUGACGACAGCCAUGCAGCACCUGUCACCGAGUUCCUUGCGGCACCCCCAUGCAUCUCUGCUAGGGUUCUCGGGAUGUCAAGACCAGGUAAGGUUCUUCGCGUUGCAUCGAAUUAAACCACAUGCUCCACCGCUUGUGCGGGCCCCCGUCAAUUCCUUUGAGCUUCAGUCUUGCGACCGUACUCCCCAGGCGGCGAACUUAGCGCGUUAGCUUCGACACUGAGAGCCAAGUUGCUCCCAACGUCCAGUUCGCAUCGUUUAGGGCGUGGACUAC
RNAcentral lists this unclassified non-coding RNA (380 nucleotides) under uncultured Pseudomonadota bacterium. RNAcentral describes it as "uncultured proteobacterium contains 16S-23S intergenic spacer region". The record is from RNAcentral. Lineage: Bacteria; Pseudomonadati; Pseudomonadota.